UGGGAGGUGCGCCGAAUGGUAAGGCAUCCGGCUGUUAACCGGACGAGGGCGACCUCAUUGGCGGUUCGAAUCCGCCCCUCCCAGCCA
Molecule: transfer RNA, 87 nt
Filed under: Planctomycetota bacterium
Lineage: Bacteria; Pseudomonadati; Planctomycetota
Description: tRNA-Asn
Rfam family: tRNA
About the family: Transfer RNA (tRNA) molecules are approximately 80 nucleotides in length. Their secondary structure includes four short double-helical elements and three loops (D, anti-codon, and T loops).
Source: RNAcentral